AAAGGCUCACAAGAUGGUCAGAAAAAGCAAUGCAAGGCACCUCUUAAGAACUUUAGAAUUGAUUGUGAGACAUGGGAGACACUGGCACAGGACUGCCUAGUAUGGUGUGCCCUCACCAGAGAAGGACAAACUUGGCAUUCAUUCAUUCCACGGGAAAUGUCUUUGUUACUGAAGCCGUCGUGACAAAGAUUGGCCUUGACUUGUCCUUUGGAAGGACAGAGAUUGCCUGGAAAAUCUUAUACCUCAUUUUUCUUCACUCCCAGUUAAUCAUAAAUAAAGCUUGCACAUGUAGUCUUAGGAUGCCAGGUAUGGCUGCUGCCUGGACUGUUAGUUGAUUAAUUUAUUUAUUGAGUACAUAUUAAAUUCAAAGUCUCCUUUAAAAACAUUUUUUAAAUGUUACAUUACCUUAUGCUUUUAUAUCAAAAUCAAUUCCCUUUGAAUCAGUCUUUCUUUCUUUCCCCUUCUCAUUCCUCCAGCAAAAAAAGAGAAAAGAGAAAAAAAAGAAGAAAAAAAGAGAAAAAAGAGAAAAACAAAUUCCUAUAUAGUUGAAGUCCAAAAUAUCUCAUUCCACAUCUUGAAUCCAUUAUCCCAUUAUCUCUCCUGUUUGUAAGUGAGUAGACCUGUUUAUCAGCAAUCCCCUGGAAUCAUGUACCAAAGUUUUUUUUGACAGUUAUUUACUGUGCUUUAUAGAUUAAUGAAAGUAUUCUCUUGUU
Long non-coding RNA from Sarcophilus harrisii (Tasmanian devil), 713 nucleotides. RefSeq lists it as uncharacterized. Lineage: Eukaryota; Metazoa; Chordata; Mammalia; Dasyuromorphia; Dasyuridae. The record is from RefSeq and is a predicted model, not a curated record. The transcript is spliced from 2 exons.